This is a long non-coding RNA of Sinocyclocheilus anshuiensis, 234 nucleotides long. RefSeq lists it as uncharacterized. The record is from RefSeq and is a predicted model, not a curated record. The transcript has 3 exons. Lineage: Eukaryota; Metazoa; Chordata; Actinopteri; Cypriniformes; Cyprinidae.
UUCUCUGUUCUGUGUGAAUCUGCAGUGAUGUAUCAGUGUCCUGCUGGAUACCUGCUUCAGGGUGCCACACAAAUCACCUGUGACCCCAACACCCAGCAGUGGACCCCACAAACGCCCACAUGCCAAGAUAUUGAUGAAUGUUCCGCUCAUCCGUCCGUCUGCCCUCCACACCUGCAGUGCUUGAACACACCUGGAGGUCACACCUGCACCGAACCUGCAGCUCCGCCCCUUUCC